GGGUUUAUUUGCAUGUAAAUAAAGAUGUUCUCUGCGAUAUCUCCAAAAAAGUUGAAAUUCCACUUUCCGCCCCAAAAAACAGCCGGGAUAUUUACAAAUUCCAGCGAUUCUCCAGCCAGGGAUUUAUGUACAUCAUGAUAAUCGAGGAAAAGAACCAGUUUCUUUUAAUCUCCGUGUUCACUUCACCACCUGAGAUUAAAAGGGACCACAAGAUCAGCCCGGAGAGGAUGCCUGAGUCAUGCUCCUCAUUCCAGCCAAAAGGGGAAAAUCCAUCUCUGAAGGAAACCAACACUUCUGCUGCAGCUCUGAGCCCAGCUGAGCCACUCUGGGAUGGUUUUCCAAGCUGGAGAAUCCUCCCCAGGAUUGUGAGCACAAUUCCCAGCACAGCAGCAUGAGGAAUUCCAGGGAAGUUUGUUGGUGCAGGCAGGAAUCCCUUUUCCAUUGAGAUUUGCUGGAAUUUCACUGUGCUGGAAUGUCACCAAAGCUGCAGAGCCACCCAAAUUCCCACUGGGG
Melozone crissalis (California towhee) is the source of this 513-nucleotide long non-coding RNA. RefSeq lists it as uncharacterized. The record is from RefSeq and is a predicted model, not a curated record. NCBI's taxonomy places the organism in Eukaryota, Metazoa, Chordata, Aves, Passeriformes, Passerellidae. The transcript has 2 exons.